AGUCUCUGUAACCUCUCACGGCUCCCGGAUGGUCCUGCAGUCCUGCUUCCUGCGCUUACACAGCUGCAAUCAUCUGGAGGCUCAAUAGGUGAAAAGUCCCGAGAGGCUUCAUCGGCUGAUUCUGGAUAAUGACAGGGCUCAGCUGGCUGCUUCCUAGUCUGCUGGGGCUCUUGCCCUAAGUAGGGCCUUUGGCUCCCCUCUGCAAGGCUUCUUACCACACUAGCCUGGGCUCCCUUACAGCAUGGCAGUCUGGUUGCAUCAAUCACAUCUGUGGGUGAAGGAUGAAGCAUGAAGAAGACAGCUGUGUUAGAAUGACUAAAGAGUGCACUUCAGUGAAGGAAGGAGCUAAGAGAAAGAAAGAUAAAGAUCCCAGAGAGACAAAGUGGAAAACCCAGAUCACCAGUAACUGUUGUUGGCCCAGAGAAUGGCUGCUGGCACUCCAGUCUAAUUCGAGGUUUGGCCGCAGAAGAACCUACUUCUGAGCUUUCUUAAGUCACGAACGGAAUUCAGUUACUUGCCACUGUGGGGUUGGAGCACUACCGUUUCUUGUUGGCUAUAGACUAGAAGUUUCCUGGAACUCUUUUUUUUUUUUUUUUUUUUUUUUGGUUUUUCGAGACAGGCUUUCUCUGUGUAGCCCUGGCUGUCCUGGAACUCACUUUGUAGACCAGGCUGGCCUCGAACUUAGAAAUCCGCUUGCCUCUGCCUCCCGAGUGCUGGGAUUAAAGGCGUGCACCACCACGCCCGGCUCCUGGAACUCUUAUAACCACCCAUGGCUCCUUGCAAGCUGGCCUAUACACUACAACAAGGCAGUUUCCUUGUAAGGUAGUAAGGAAUAGGACCAAGCAAGAUGUUGCAUAACCACAUGUCUUUCACCCUCUUUGACAUGUUCUAUUAGCUAUGGGGAGUCACACUCCCUUCAUUCCCACAUUCUAGGGGUAGGACUACACCAGGAGGCAAGGCUCUUUGGGAGCCAUUUGGAAAUAGUUAUCCACACAAAGCAACCAAAACCAAAUUCUUUAUAAAACAAAGAAUUGGGAGGGUAUAGGGAACUUUCAGGAUAGCAUUUGAAAUGUAAAUAAAGAAAAUACCUAAU
RNAcentral lists this long non-coding RNA (1093 nucleotides) under Mus musculus (house mouse). RNAcentral's name for it is "RIKEN cDNA 6030440G07 gene (6030440G07Rik)". Lineage: Eukaryota; Metazoa; Chordata; Mammalia; Rodentia; Muridae. The record is from RNAcentral.